RNAcentral lists this ribosomal RNA (504 nucleotides) under uncultured Desulfobulbus sp. RNAcentral's name for it is "bacterial SSU rRNA". It matches the Rfam family "Bacterial small subunit ribosomal RNA", at positions 903 to 1382 of the family's 1533-position model. Lineage: Bacteria; Pseudomonadati; Thermodesulfobacteriota; Desulfobulbia; Desulfobulbales; Desulfobulbaceae. The record is from RNAcentral.
CCAGCCCGCUACAGAAACUCAAAGGAAGUUGACGGGGCCCGCACAAGCGGUGGAGUAUGUGGUUUAAUUCGAUGCAACGCGAAGAACCUUACCUGGUCUUGACAUCCCGGAGACCCUUAGGAAACUAGGGGUGCUUCCAUCUGGAAGAAUCUGGAGACAGGUGCUGCAUGGCUGUCGUCAGCUCGUGUCGUGAGAUGUUGGGUUAAGUCCCGCAACGAGCGCAACCCUUGCCUUUAGUUGCCAGCAGUUCGGCUGGGCACUCUAAAGGGACUGCCGGUGUUAAACCGGAGGAAGGUGGGGAUGACGUCAAGUCCUCAUGGCCUUUAUGACCAGGGCUACACACGUACUACAAUGGCCGAUACAAAGGGCAGCGACACUGCGAGGUGAAGCCAAUCCCGUAAAAUCGGUCUCAGUCCGGAUUGGAGUCUGCAACUCGACUCCAUGAAGUUGGAAUCGCUAGUAAUCGUGGAUCAGCAUGCCACGGUGAAUACGUUCCCGGGCCUU